ACGCUUCGACUAAGGUUCGAUUCGAGCGUCAGCGAGAAAGCGUUGCCGCAGGCAACGACCCGAAGGGCGAAGCGCGCAGCGCUGAGUCAUCCUUCCCCCACCACCA
RNAcentral lists this small RNA (106 nucleotides) under Salmonella enterica subsp. enterica serovar Enteritidis. RNAcentral's name for it is "partial RtT sRNA". It matches the Rfam family "RtT RNA", at positions 27 to 130 of the family's 130-position model. Rfam says of the family: This family represents a bacterial cis-regulatory element known as RtT RNA. The exact function of RtT is unknown although it is thought that it may be involved in changing the cellular response in relation to amino acid starvation. The record is from RNAcentral. Lineage: Bacteria; Pseudomonadati; Pseudomonadota; Gammaproteobacteria; Enterobacterales; Enterobacteriaceae.